Molecule: long non-coding RNA, 2105 nt
Organism: Peromyscus californicus insignis
Lineage: Eukaryota; Metazoa; Chordata; Mammalia; Rodentia; Cricetidae
Exons: 2
Source: RefSeq, a predicted model, not a curated record
GUCAGGCUAGCCUGCGCUCUGGGCUUCAAGUUCCUGGGUUUCUGCGAUCGCUUUUUGCAACCAGACAACUUUCCCCGCUCACUACAGCAGCUUCAAGUGACCUCCUGAGAACGAAUCCCUCUCCCAAUGGUGCUGGCCUGUACCACCACUCCACUCACACAUAACUGACCUCUGGAGGACUAAAAGGCUGAUAAACAAGCCUGGGGGCCUUCAAGCCCGGAAGAAGGUGCUAUGAAGGCCAGAGUCCAGGGACCGUAUUCAUGUUACCCAGCUGCCGACCCCUGUCCUGGCAGGUAUCGAUUGCUUCUUACCCUGGGAACCUUCGCUGAUUUGAGAUGAUGGGAAGCUAUGGUGAAGAAUAAAAUCAAUGUUCUCAGCACGUCUAGCCUGAUUGACACUAUGCACCAUCAUAUCCGUCAUGGAGACGAAGAUUUUGUUAUUGAAGAAUCAAGAAUAGAAAGACAUGUGUCUCUACCAAGUACUUAAGUGGUAUCAGUCGGGCGGUGGUGGCGCACGCCUUUAAUCCCAGCACUCAGGAGGCAGAGGCAGAGGCAGGCAGAUCUCUGUGAGUUCAAGGCCAGCCUGAGCUACAGAGUGAGUUCCAGGACAGGCUCCAAAGCUACACAGAGAAACCCUGUCUCGAAAAACCAAAGAAGGAGGAGGAGGAGGAGGAGAAGAAGAAGAAGAAGAAGAAAUCAAGAAAUUUCUUUUGAAUUUUCCAGUGUUGUGGAGUACAGGUUUUUGAAGUAUGACCUAUUGAUUCCCUGGAUUUCCUCAGUGUCGUUAUGCCCUUCUUCUCAUUGCUGAUUUUGUUAAUUUGGAUAUUCUCACUCUGCUUGUUAGUUAGUUUGGAUAAGGGUUUGUCUGUCUUGUUGAUUUUCUUAAAGAACUAAGAAGUAAAUACAUAAUAGAAAUUAAGCACUAGGGUUGGGGGAUUUUCAAAAACUGGUUUGUUGAGUUCUUUGGGCUGGCAAAGACUCCUUCCUGUUGGCUGUGACAGCUGCAGAUAGGUCAUUCUCUUGGAGGGGGACACUGUGGGUGAGCUGCUGAGGAGGGAGGGUUGGAGGGCAGUGUCAAAAGCUACUGCAGGCACAUGCCCUGCCUGCCCUCAGCCUUAGUCACUCUAAAAGUUAGUAAGCUGGGCACAGUGGAGCACCCCGGGGGUCCCAGCUAUUCAGGAAGCUGAGACAGAAAUCACUCACUGGAGAGUCUGAGAGUAGCCUGGGCAGCAUUGCAAGACUCCGCCUUAAGAAACAAAACCAAACCAAAACUUGGCUAGGCCAGAACCAAAACAUAGUAGAACAAAAGGUUAUAUAGUGCUGGAAUAAACAAGGAAGCAGUCCAAACUAAUAAAAGAGACAUACAAAAGAGCACAUGGCUGGCUAUUGGAAGAGGAAGGUAGCACCCAGCACCCCCAACUAUACCAUCAAUCCCCCCUUUUAACUGGACAUAUAAAAUUAUAAGUAAGAGAAAGAGCAGACUCAGCCAGGGGGUUCUGAGAGGUGCCCACCAACACUUGCUCUCCUAGUGUGCACUGGGAAUUUUCCUGCUCCAUCAAGAUGAGGAGGCUGAGUUGGGGGUGUGGCUCAGUGACAGAACUCAUGCCUAGCAUAAGUUCUAUCCCCCCAUACACCUAGCCCUCUAAAAAGAUGAGGAUCCUCUAAAAGUCUGGGUUGACCUUCUAGCUUUACUCCAUAGGACCUGGCAGAAGUGAUGCUUUGACAGUUUCUGGCCAGACCCCGAGGCCUUGGCAGCCCUGAGUAUGGCCUUUUUGUUUCCCAGCCGCCAUGCUGUGAGGGAACUGGCCCUGUCUUCUGGAGGCGGCGGGCCCACGAGAGAAUGGAAUUAUACUAGACCAUAGCCAGGACCAGCUUUGGACAGAGGUGCAUCUGCCUUGGACGCUCUAUACCAGGUCUGAGGACCUCACCCUCAGCACAAAAGAUCUUCCUAGUGAUUUGCAAGGUUGGAAGAAAUCUCAAACAGCCUUAACUUUCUUACUCAGUCAUAGCUAGCUGACACAAGAACUACUCCUUGUGGUGAUAUUUUACUUGUGCUGAAUUGUGGUGUUAUUUUAUUUGUAUGUUGAUAAAUAAAGUUUGCCUGGA